This 1291-nucleotide long non-coding RNA is filed under the name Anas platyrhynchos platyrhynchos (common mallard). RNAcentral's name for it is "lncRNA (ENSAPLG00000022583.1)". The record is from RNAcentral. Lineage: Eukaryota; Metazoa; Chordata; Aves; Anseriformes; Anatidae.
AGAAAAUAGAGAAAAUAGAAGAGAGGAAAUAGAAGAAAAAGAGAGGAAAUAGAAGAAAAAGAGAGGAAGUAGAAGACGGCGGAGGCAGAGUUAAAAAACGGGAGGCGAGCCGGAGCGUGGUGAAGCUGACCGAAAAUCGGCGCAAAUUGGCGGAAUCGGCCCCAAAACGGAGCAGCGGAGACGCCGGGGCGCGGUGAGGGCCCCCCCUCGGUUUCGGGGGGGGGUCGUGGGGGUGGCGAGGGAGGGCGCGGGGCUCUUGUCGUUGCAGGCGCCGUUUUUUUGGCCACAAAGCGCCCCAAAACUCACCGCCGCGGCGUAGAUAUUUGGGUCAAAAUGGGAAAGAAACGGUGAAAAAAAAAAAUCGGAACAAAAAAACAAAAAAAAAAGGAACAAAAAAAAAAAGGAAAAGAACAACAACAAAAAAAAGCAAAAUCAACCCAAAAUCCAGCAUCAUCACGCUCCGGCUGUAAAAUAUUGUAGGUACCGGUGUCGCCGCGCCGCAGAGUGUAAGCAACAAAAAGCGACAAAAUGGAGGAAAAAAUAACAAAAAAAGCUAAUUCCGCUGAGGAAAAUGAGCAGGAUGAGGAGAAAGAGACCCAAAAAGAGAUCCUCAGGCUCAGGAUUUAAGCAAAAAAAAGGCAAAUCCGCACCCAAAACCGCGCUCAGCCCCGCAGUGGCAGCGCUCCCAGGAGCUUUUCUGCAGGGAGAUUUUGAGGAUAAAAAGCGCAGAUUUGGUUAAUUGAGACUCGGUUCGGAAGUGCAGCCACGGCGCCCCAGCCGCAGUAAAGAGGAGCGGGCGCCCCGACCCCGCCGCCUUUUUGGGGGAAAAAAGGCCAAAAAUGGGUCUGCUGGGCGCUGGUUCCCGGCUUCUCCGCACAGCUCAGUGAAAACCGCAGGAAAAUGCCCCAAAAACGAGGACGCCCGACCCGAAAAAGGCAGAGCCCGGCAGCAAAACCUCCCAAAAACGUGUAGGAAAGGGAGAAAAAAAAAUAGGUAUUUCUGGUGGUUUGAACCCAAAAAAAAACGGGGGCGUGGAGCAUCCAGGUGGCGGUGGUGGUUUUUCGCCCAGGGAGGGUGUAAUUUUACCAAUUUAGCCCCAAUUUUGCUUGGUUUUUCCCCUCUGGAUUCACCAAGGAAAAAAAAAAGCAAAAAUAUAAAAAAAGGCCCAAAGUGCCUCAAAAUGAGCAGCUGGCGCCAGGCCCUUCCGGCAGCGGCGCUCGGCCGGAUCCCUUCAGUGGGAUUUUGAGUGGAAAACGUGGCUUUUUGGUAAACUCAGGGCUCGAGCCCUUCG